CACGUAGGGUGCGAGCGUUGUCCGGAAUUAUUGGGCGUAAAGAGCUCGUAGGCGGUGUGUCGCGUCGGCCGUGAAAACCUGCAGCUUAACUGUGGGCUUGCGGUCGAUACGGGCAUCACUGGAGUUCGGCAGGGGAGACUGGAAUUCCUGGUGUAGCGGUGAAAUGCGCAGAUAUCAGGAGGAACACCGGUGGCGAAGGCGGGUCUCUGGGCCGAUACUGACGUGAGGAGCGAAAGUGUGGGGAGCGAACAGG
Molecule: ribosomal RNA, 253 nt
Filed under: uncultured bacterium
Lineage: Bacteria
Description: partial 16S ribosomal RNA
Rfam family: Bacterial small subunit ribosomal RNA
Source: RNAcentral